GAUGAACGCUGGCGGCGUGCCUAAUACAUGCAAGUCGAGCGAACAGACUAGGAGCUUGUUCCUUUGACGUUAGCGGCGGACGGGUGAGUAACACGUGGGUAACCUACCUAUAAGACUGGGAUAACUUCGGGAAACCGGAGCUAAUACCGGAUAAUAUUUCUAACCGCAUGGUUCGAUAGUGAAAGAUGGCUUUGCUAUCACUUAUAUAUUGACCUGCGCCGUAUUAGCUAGUUGGUAAGGUAACGGCUUACCAAGGCAACGAUUCUUAGCCGACCUGAAAGGGUGAUAGUCCAAACUGAAACUGACACACGGUCCAGACUUCUACGGGAGGCAGCAGUAGGGAAUAUCCAGCGAUGCGCGAAAGCCUGACUGAGCAACACCGCGAUAAUGAUGAAGAUCUUCGUUUCGUAAAACACUGUUAUCAGUGAAGAACAAAAGUGUAUUUAACUGUGCACUACUUGACGGUACCUAAUAAGAAUGCCACAGCUAACUACGGG
Molecule: ribosomal RNA, 497 nt
Filed under: uncultured bacterium
Lineage: Bacteria
Description: partial 16S ribosomal RNA
Rfam family: Bacterial small subunit ribosomal RNA
Source: RNAcentral